RNAcentral lists this ribosomal RNA (274 nucleotides) under uncultured bacterium. RNAcentral describes it as "partial 16S ribosomal RNA". It matches the Rfam family "Bacterial small subunit ribosomal RNA", at positions 523 to 796 of the family's 1533-position model. The record is from RNAcentral.
AUACGGAGGUUGCAAGCGUUGUUCGGAUUUACUGGGCGUAAAGAGAGUGUAGGUUGUUUAUUAAGUCGGAUGUGAAAUCCCGGGGCUCAACCUCGGAACUGCAUUCGAUACUGGUAGACUAGAGUUCGGGAGGGGUAAGCGGAAUUCCGUGUGUAGCAGUGAAAUGCGUAGAUAUACGGAGGAACACCUGAGGCGAAGGCGGCUUACUGGACCGAUACUGACACUGAGACUCGAAAGCGUGGGUAGCAAACAGGAUUAGAUACCCUAGUAGUCC